Molecule: ribosomal RNA, 501 nt
Filed under: uncultured bacterium
Lineage: Bacteria
Description: bacterial SSU rRNA
Rfam family: Bacterial small subunit ribosomal RNA
Source: RNAcentral
GAUCCUGGCUCAGAGUGAACGCUGGCGGCAGGCCUAAUACAUGCAAGUCGAACGGCAGCACAGUGGAGCUUGCUCCAUGGGUGGCGAGUGGCGGACGGGUGAGGAAUACAUGGGAAUCUGCCCAGUCGUGGGGGAUAACGUAUGGAAACGUACGCUAAUACCGCAUGCGCCCUUCGGGGAAAGUCGGGGACCGCAAGGCCUGACGCGAUUGGAUGAGCCCAUGUUCGAUUAGCUAGUUGGCGGGGUAACGGCCCACCAAGGCGACGAUCGAUAGCUGGUCUGAGAGGAUGAUCAGCCACACUGGAACUGAGACACGGUCCAGACUCCUACGGGAGGCAGCAGUAGGGAAUAUUGGACAAUGGGCGCAAGCCUGAUCCAGCCAUGCCGCGUGAGUGAAGAAGGCCCUCGGGUUGUAAAGCUCUUUGUUGGGGAAGAAAAGCAGUUGGUUAAUACCCGAUUGUUCUGACGGUACCCAAAGAAUAAGCACCGGCUAACUUCGUG